This is a non-coding RNA of Kwoniella shandongensis, 99 nucleotides long. Lineage: Eukaryota; Fungi; Basidiomycota; Tremellomycetes; Tremellales; Cryptococcaceae. The record is from the annotation of a GenBank genome assembly.
GGAGCUGUAGCUCAAUUGGUAGAGUGAUGGAUUCCAAUGUAUGAUCUAUGAUCGGUCGUUGCCAUCCAUCGGUCGCAGGUUCGAUUCCUGUCAGCUUCA